UACCUGGUUGAUUCUGCCAGUAGUCAUAUGCUUGUCUCAAAGAUUAAGCCAUGCAUGUCUAAGUAUAAGCAAUUUAUACCGUGAAACUGCGAAUGGCUCAUUAAAUCAGUUAUCGUUUAUUUGAUAGUACCUUACUACUUGGAUAACCGUGGUAAUUCUAGAGCUAAUACAUGCUAAAAGCCCCGACUUCGGAAGGGGUGUAUUUAUUAGAUAAAAAACCAAUGCCCUCCGGGGCUCCUUGGUGAUUCAUAAUAACUUAACGAAUCGCAUGGCCUUGUGCCGGCGAUGGUUCAUUCAAAUUUCUGCCCUAUCAACUUUCGAUGGUAGUAUAUGGGACUACCAUGGUUUCAACGGGUAACGGGGAAUUAGGGUUCUAUUCCGGAGAGGGAGCCUGAGAAACGGCUACCACAUCCAAGGAAGGCAGCAGGCGCGCAAAUACC
RNAcentral lists this non-coding RNA (440 nucleotides) under Blumeria hordei DH14. RNAcentral's name for it is "Blumeria graminis f. sp. hordei DH14 Eukaryotic small subunit ribosomal RNA". It matches the Rfam family "Eukaryotic small subunit ribosomal RNA", at positions 1 to 444 of the family's 1831-position model. The record is from Rfam by way of RNAcentral. Lineage: Eukaryota; Fungi; Ascomycota; Leotiomycetes; Helotiales; Erysiphaceae.